Molecule: ribosomal RNA, 1286 nt
Filed under: Cortinarius minoscaurus
Lineage: Eukaryota; Fungi; Basidiomycota; Agaricomycetes; Agaricales; Cortinariaceae
Description: eukaryotic LSU rRNA
Source: RNAcentral
UCUUGGUCAUUUAGAGGAAGUAAAAGUCGUAACAAGGUUUCCGUAGGUGAACCUGCGGAAGGAUCAUUAUUGAAAUAAACCUGAUGAGUUGUUGCUGGCUCUCUAGGGAGUAUUGUGCACACUUGUCAUCUUUAUAUCUCCACCUGUGCACCUUUUGUAGACUUGGAAUUAGCUUUCCAUGCCUAUGUUUUAUUAUAAACUCAAUUGUAUGUUUAGAAUGUAUUUGAAUGGGCCUUUAUCUGCCUAUACAAAUUUACAACUUUCAGCAACGGAUCUCUUGGCUCUCGCAUCGAUGAAGAACGCAGCGAAAUGCGAUAAGUAAUGUGAAUUGCAGAAUUCAGUGAAUCAUCGAAUCUUUGAACGCACCUUGCGCUCCUUCGCAAUUCCGAGGAGCAUGCCUGUUUGAGUGUCAUUAAUAUAUCAACCUCUAACAUUUAUYUGUUAUGAGUGUUGGAUGUGGGGGGGAUUUUUGCUGGAUUUAAUUUAUUGAGUUCAGCUCCCCUGAAAUGCAUUAGCAGAAUUGUCCUGUCUAUUGGUGUGAUAAUUAUCUACGCUAAUUGAAUGGGAGCAGUGUUCGGCUUCUAAUAGUCCAUUGGACAAUUUCUUUAUUAAUGUGACCUCAAAUCAGGUAGGACUACCCGCUGAACUUAAGCAUAUCAAUAAGCGGAGGAAAAGAAACUAACAAGGAUUCCCCUAGUAACUGCGAGUGAAGCGGGAAAAGCUCAAAUUUAAAAUCUGGCAGUCUUUGGCUGUCCGAGUUGUAAUCUAGAGAAGUGUUAUCCGCGUUGGACCGUGUACAAGUCUCCUGGAAUGGAGCGUCAUAGAGGGUGAGAAUCCCGUCUUUGACACGGACUGCCAGGGCUUUGUGAUGCGCUCUCAAAGAGUCGAGUUGUUUGGGAAUGCAGCUCAAAAUGGGUGGUAAAUUCCAUCUAAAGCUAAAUAUUGGCGAGAGACCGAUAGCGAACAAGUACCGUGAGGGAAAGAUGAAAAGAACUUUGGAAAGAGAGUUAAACAGUACGUGAAAUUGCUGAAAGGGAAACGCUUGAAGUCAGUCACAUUGGUCAGGAAUCAACCUUGCUUCUGCUUGGUGUAUUUUCUGGUUGAUGGGUCAGCAUCAAUUUUGAUCAUUGGAAAAAGGUCAGGGGAAUGUGGCAUCCUUGGAUGUGUUAUAGCCCUUGAUUGUAUACAAUGGUUGGGAUUGAGGAACUCAGCACGCCGCAAGGCCGGGUUUUUAACCAUGUUCGUGCUUAGGAUGCUGGCAUAAUGGCUUUAAUCGACCCGUCUUG